CCUACGGGAGGCAGCAGUGGGGAAUAUUGGGCAAUGGGCGCAAGCCUGACCCAGCAACGCCGCGUGAAGGAAGAAGGCUUUCGGGUUGUAAACUUCUUUUCUCAGGGACGAAGAAAGUGACGGUACCUGAGGAAUAAGCCACGGCUAACUACGUGCCAGCAGCCGCGGUAAUACGUAGGUGGCAAGCGUUAUCCGUAUUUACUGGGUGUAAAGGGCGUGUAGGCGGGACUGCAAGUCAGAUGUGAAAACCACGGGCUCAACCUGUGGCCUGCAUUUGAAACUGUAGUUCUUGAGUACUGGAGGGGCAGGCGGAAUUCCUAGUGUAGCGGUGAAAUGCGUAGAUAUUAGGAGGAACACCAGUGGCGAAGGCGGCCUGCUGGACAGAAACUGACGUUGAGGCUCGAAAGCGUGGGGAGCAAACAGGAUUAGAUACCCGAGUAGUC
Molecule: ribosomal RNA, 443 nt
Filed under: uncultured bacterium
Lineage: Bacteria
Description: partial 16S ribosomal RNA
Rfam family: Bacterial small subunit ribosomal RNA
Source: RNAcentral